AAAUUUAAGUAAUUUCAAUUCAGUUUUAAUUUUGGAUUGGACUGAUUGGAUUCUAAAUGUUAUAUCAUAAAUCGACCAACAAAUGGCAUUGUUCUUGCUUUUGACAAAUCUUCUUUGACAGUACUUAUCAAUUGCGAGUGCCUGACGUUGAAUUUCACAGGAUAUUUUCUAUCUCAUUACGACUCAUACUUCUCAUAGUUUAACCAUUUAAACGUCAGAGGAAAAUUAUAUUUCAGUUAUU
Molecule: unclassified non-coding RNA, 241 nt
Filed under: Hevea brasiliensis (rubber tree)
Lineage: Eukaryota; Viridiplantae; Streptophyta; Magnoliopsida; Malpighiales; Euphorbiaceae
Source: RNAcentral